UUAUUUUUUUACUCUUUAAGGGUAUGAUUUUAAGAAACGUAACGUAUGGAUGACAAACAAAUAAUAAUAAAGUGUCUACCAAAUUAGGAAGAGAGAGGCUGAAUGGGGAAAUCAGAGAGAGAUACGACGUCGGAUCCGGAGGUAACCGAACUUCCCAGCUCCAGGUGAGGAACCUUCAAAUAUGAGCGGCAAAUACCCUGUCGCAGCUUUGUACCUUUGCUGAAUCUGAAACAAUUUCAUUUUACCACCAACCCAUUAAUACACAAGGGCUUACUCUCAAGUAUUGUAUCAAUAAUGAAUCAAAGAGUGCUUACUUCCAGAAUUUGUUGGCUGCUGCGCAAUGAGUUACGCCCUACGACACAGACUGUCCCACCGGACCCACCGCCAGUGAUUUUGGCUCCAUACAAAGUUCCAUCAUCUGUUGUAGACUUGUUGUGCUGCAUCCCUUGUACUAACUGGACCAGCCUGUUGGUUCCGUCCGAUCCUAGUCCGCACGCGCUGUAGCUAUAGUGACACUGAGACCAAACAAAGGAUAAACACACAAAAAAAAAAAUUAAGAUAUUAAUUCCCUUAUCUUAUAUAACUUAAUUUUGAUAUAAUACCUGAUAAAGAAGUCCUCCAAGAGCGGUAAGUUGCUCAUCUGAUGUUGCAGAAGUCAAAAGAGCUUUAAAAGUCUACACAAGAAGCAGCACAUGAUAUGAAACAGCCAGAAAAGGAUUACAAAAGCAGAAGAAGAUUUUGUGUAUUGUUACAUGUGUAUUACUCUUUUAUAUCAAAAGACGGACCUUAACCCGGAAGUUUUCGUAUAUAGGGUGUCUGGCAGGAGCUUUAACACUGUACGAACGUUUUUGAUCAAUCACUGUGACCGGAUCGUCAUGAUCCGAGUAUUCAUCAAUGAAUGUCUGACCCAGCAUGAAAUCUGGAAGCUUAUCAGCAUAACGGGCUUCAUACCUGCAACACAAUCAGAGCUAUGAGUAUUUUGAAAUGGUUCCAAAUGUUUAGCAAGUUGAGAACAUGGGUAGUUUCAACCCCUUGUGUACACACCUGUGAGGUGACAAAUUGCACAGGUAAUCUAGUGAAGCUUCGGUCUCAAGCAGCUCAAUACCUUCAUCCUCUAGUUCUUCCGGGUUACCUCCAUUACCAUUCGACACUGAUUGAGACAGAAUCGAAGACGCCAUUGACUUUAUCAUCUUUCUCCCCAUGUAGGCACCAACUCUGACAGACCCAUAGUCUGCACCUCCAACGCUACAAGAUAAAGUGCGUUGAGCAAUGAUAUAUAAAAGCUCGAGUGACUCUGCAAUCUUUUGAGUAAACGAAGAAAAAUGACAUUGUUGUGUCUAGAUAAUUUAGAGGAUAUUAAGCGUGAGGCCUUUUAUAGGCAUAGCAAUUGAGAGGAGAAAAGAGAAGACACUGGCAGAGAAAGACCAUCUACCUGUGUCGAAUUCCAGAGUCGAUUCCCCAAAAUCGGACAUGGUUGGGAAUCUCAACAAGUCCAAUUACUUCUGCAGGCUACAUAUUUUAUUUAAUAAGUUAGAAACAAGAGUAGAUAGAAAUCAACUAAGAUCUACUUGGCAGAUCAUGGCCAGAAAGAAAUGGAGAUAUCAUAUGUCCUACAAAACAUGGUGAUCUUUUACUUAUAACGUAUGCGUUUGUAAGACCUACUUGGCAGAUCAUGGCCAACAGUUUGUUGGCUUCCCCACAGGACGAAGUCAUCUGAUCCAUAACACCACAUGGAGCUCCAACAAUAUGAUUCUCCACCUAGCAGGCAACAGAAGAGAAUUAGAAAACACAAACAUUGAACAGAGUCGAGAAAAGAGUUACUAUAAUGCUGAACAUGAAACCUUUUGGCAGAGUAUGGCAAGAUCUCGGGGGUUGAUACUCAAUCCUGCACAUGUAAUGAAACAACUGUUGGAAUAGGCAAAACUAAAGAUGCAUUUUUCUUCUUCUGAAACACAGGCAGAACUAAAGAUGCAUAUAAUCAAAAUUUCCGUGUUUCUGUUUGGUAUACUUAGCUAUCUCAGAUGACGCUAGAUUUUUCACCUACGUUCGUGAUAAUAUGACUCUCAUUUAUGACGAUAUGUUAAAGAGAAUACCAUGCGCAGCAGCUACUGCGGACAUACUCGCCACCUCCACCGCAGCAGAUGAAGAUACACCUUUACCUUCAGGCACGGCAGAAGAAACCUAAGAAAACAAAGAAUCAGUUAGCUUUGACGUUCGUUAUAUAUGCAUAACACCAAGAACAAAAUAAUAGACAUGUCUGAAAGUCUGAAGCUUUUUAAGAAACUCAAAAAGACUGUACUAGUACCAGAAAGAUCAUAGUCUGCCAGAGUUAUAACUGAGAGACGUCAUAAAGUGGCUCCCUUAAGGGAAUAUCAAACCCAGGACGGCUAACUUCUUAUCCUAAAAUUGCUUAUUCCAACUCUUGAAAUCUUGAAAACGUUCUUUACAGUUUUCAUGACUUUACUCAUAGAACAUGUUAAACUAAAGUGUGUGCAGAAAAAGGAUCAUGGAUAAAUCAGGAGGGAUUCUGCAGUAGUGAAUGAUAAGUUCUAAAAGGAUGAGAAAAAAAUAACGCACCAGAAAGCUGAGGCUAUCCUCAAAACGGACGCCAAGUUCUGUCAUCAAUACCAAAAUCGUCCCAGCAACAUAUGCUGCCCACCUGGAAGAUAUUAUUACCUUGUUAACGGAGAAAAAUAAAAGAAGUACUUCAAAUAACAGAGGAAAGACUCACUUCUGUGCAGGAUCCUGAGCAAAGAACUUCCUCGCUUUUUCAUAAGAAAUUGGUUUAUCUCCAUCCAUGAAAUCAGACAAAUCCAUGUCAAAGGUAGGGGCACGGUUGCUGAUCUCAGACCCAUAUGAGACCUAAAACACAAAUAUGCAAGGAAGUCUCAGCAGGACCAUAGAGCAAAGCUUAAGCUAGCUAGGACAAUGCAGUUAUUGUAAAAGAAAGUCCGUGGUGUCCAUAUAAAAAUGUUCCAUCAAAUACUCUUACUUACAAUUUGGAGAACCGGUGUUGCUACUUGUCCCUUAGCUUGCUGUCGGGCUUGCGCAUGUUUCCACAGUCUAUGUUUUCCGGGAUGGUUUCUUUGAAGAGCUACAUGACAAGCUUCCCUUAUUGGCAUCUGAAGUUGUGGGAACAUAAAUAAGAAAAAUGUUGAGGUCAAUCAAAAUAGAAGAUACUCUGAUGGGGAAAUCAGAGAGAGAUACGACGUCGGAUCCGGAGGUAACCGAACUUCCCAGCUCCAGGUGAGGAACCUUCAAAUAUGAGCGGCAAAUACCCUGUCGCAGCUUUGUACCUUUGCUGAAUCUGAAACAAUUUCAUUUUACCACCAACCCAUUAAUACACAAGGGCUUACUCUCAA
This 3362-nucleotide long non-coding RNA is filed under the name Brassica napus (rape). RNAcentral's name for it is "long non-coding RNA (BNAP_LNC000373)". Lineage: Eukaryota; Viridiplantae; Streptophyta; Magnoliopsida; Brassicales; Brassicaceae. The record is from RNAcentral.